This is a long non-coding RNA of Lagopus leucura (white-tailed ptarmigan), 337 nucleotides long. RefSeq lists it as uncharacterized. The record is from RefSeq and is a predicted model, not a curated record. NCBI's taxonomy places the organism in Eukaryota, Metazoa, Chordata, Aves, Galliformes, Phasianidae. The transcript has 3 exons.
GUAUACUCAACAUUCAUUUUUGUGCUGAGUUCCCACGUGCCUAAUUUCAAACGAUCUGACUCCUAAUUGUUGAUGUCUGUGAAAUCAUUUCAAGAGCAGCAGAUGAGAUCUGUCUCAUUAGGGAUACAGAGUGGCUUGGCUCCUUUCUCUCCCUGGAGCCCAGGACUACAACACAGUGAAUACAUUCAUAAGCAGAAGACUUCAAUGUAAUUUGAUCUGUUCUAGAAGAAGUUGCAAAACAUUCACGUUGGUUUUUGAGGAAGGAGUUUUUUUAUUUUCAAAUCUUGCAGUUACGUGAGAAACAAAUCUGUGCAGAGUUGUUUGACAGAAGAUUCAG